GAAAUGCGAUAAGUAAUGUGAAUUGCAGAAUUCAGUGAAUCAUCGAAUCUUUGAACGCACAUUGCGCCCGCCAGUAUUCUGGCGGGCAUGCCUGUCCGAGCGUCAUUUCAACCAUCAAACCCCCGGGCUUGUGUUGGGGACCUGCGGCUGCCCGCAGGCCCUGAAAACCAGUGGCGGGCUCGCUGUCACACCGAGCGUAGUAGCAAUCACCUCGCUCAGGGCGUGCUGCGGGUUCCGGCCGUUAAACAGCCUUACAAAACCCAAGGUUGACCUCGGAUCAGGUAGGAAGACCCGCUGAACUUAAGC
Molecule: unclassified non-coding RNA, 306 nt
Filed under: plant metagenome
Description: partial contains 5.8S ribosomal RNA, internal transcribed spacer 2, and large subunit ribosomal RNA
Rfam family: 5.8S ribosomal RNA (bases 1-105)
Source: RNAcentral